Molecule: transfer RNA, 85 nt
Filed under: Candidatus Woesearchaeota archaeon
Lineage: Archaea; Nanobdellati; Candidatus Woesearchaeota
Description: tRNA-Pro
Rfam family: tRNA
About the family: Transfer RNA (tRNA) molecules are approximately 80 nucleotides in length. Their secondary structure includes four short double-helical elements and three loops (D, anti-codon, and T loops).
Source: RNAcentral
GGGGCCGUAGUCUAGCUUGGUAGGACUCACCCUUGGGGUGGGUGAAACCCAGGUUCAAAAGGCUAUGAAAAUCCUGGCGGCCCCA